This 1334-nucleotide long non-coding RNA is filed under the name Sus scrofa (pig). RNAcentral's name for it is "lncRNA (ENSSSCG00000061109.1)". The record is from RNAcentral. Lineage: Eukaryota; Metazoa; Chordata; Mammalia; Artiodactyla; Suidae.
GGGGUUGCGUGCGUGCCGGGGAAGGGAGCCCCGGGAGCGACUGCUGAGGGACACCGCGGCGAGCGAGCAUGGGUGGAGGAGCUGAGGGUGUGAGCAGGGCUGCAGCGGGCAGGUCCAAGGCAGGAACCCUUGUGAAGGCAACCAAUCGUGGACCUCACUCUCCUGCAAGUCCCAGAGCAGGCUGGACAAAUGUGGGACUUCCUAGGAGUUUACAGAUGGAGGGACAGAAGCCAAGGAGAGGCCACAGAGCUGGCUUUGCCCCCACCAUCCCUUGCCUGGACCCCCUUCCACCCGAGCAGCUUGGCCCAGGGCAACCCUUGCCCUCCCAGACUGCACACAUCCUGUUUUAAGGAUGCACAGCUUAAAACACGGUCGUGUGAGGUGAAUGUGAUAACCACUGCACUCCGGAAACCCUGCCCACAUUAACAAAAGAAAAGUCAAAAACCAUAUGAUCAUCUCAAUAGAUGCAGAAAAAGCAUUUGACAAAGCGCAACAUCCAGUCAUGUUCAAAACUCUCGCCAAAGUGGGUAUAGAGGGAACAUUCCUGAACAUAAGCAAAGCCAUUUAUGACAAACCCACAGCAAAUAUAAUACUCAAUGGAGAAAAACUGAAAGCCUUCUCACUCAUCUGGAACAAGAGAGGGAUGCCCACUCUCACUACUGCUCUUUAACAGAGUUUUGGAAGUCCUAGCCACAGCAUUAGACAAACAAAAGACAUAAAAGCCAUCCAAAGAGGAAAAGAAGAGAGAAAAGUGUAUGCAGACGACGUGAUACUACACAUAGAAAACCCUAAGGACUCAACCCAAAAACUACUUGAACUGAUUAAUAAAUUCAGCAAAGUAGCAGGAUAUAAGAUUAACAUUCAGAAAUCAGUUGCAUUUCUGUAUACCAACAAUGAAAUAUUAGAAAAGGAAUACAAAAGUACAAUACCUUUUAAAAUUGCACCUCAAAAAAUCAAAUACCUCGGAAUACACCUGACCAAGGAGGUAAAGGACUAAUAUGCCGAGAACUAUAAAACUUUAAUCAAACAAAUUAAAGAAGAUGUAAAGAAAUGGAGGGAUAUUCUAUGUUCAUGUAUUGGAAAAUCCAAUAUUGUAAAAAUGGCCGUACUUCCCAAAGCAAUCUACAGAUUCAAUGCAAUCCCUAUCAAAUGACCCAUGACAUUUUUCACAGAACUAGAACCAACAAUCCAAAAAUUUACGUGGAACCACAAAAGAAAGUCUAUUCAGCAAGCAUUGCUGGGAAACCAGGACAGCUGCAUGCAAAUCAGUGAAAUUAGAACACACCCUCACACCAUGUACAAAAAUAAACUCAAAAUGGCUGAAAGACUUAAAU